GAUGAACGCUGGCGGCGUGCCUAAUACAUGCAAGUCGAGCGAACGGAUGAGAAGCUUGCUUCUCUGAUGUUAGCGGCGGACGGGUGAGUAACACGUGGAUAACCUACCUAUAAGACUGGGAUAACUUCGGGAAACCGGAGCUAAUACCGGAUAAUAUUUUGAACCGCAUGGUUCAAAAGUGAAAGACGGUCUUGCUGUCACUUAUAGAUGGGUCCGCGCUGCAUUAGCUAGUUGGUAAGGUAACGGCUUACCAAGGCAACGAUGCAUAGCCGCCCUGAGAGGGUGAUCGGCCACACUGGAACUGAGACACGGUCCAGACUCCUACGGGAGGCAGCAGUAGGGAAUCUUCCGCAAUGGGCGAAAGCCUGACGGAGCAACGCCGCGUGAAUGAUGAAGGUCUUCGGAUCGUAAAACUCUGUUAUUAGGGAAGACCAUAUGUGUAAUUAACUGUGCACAUCUUGACGGUACCUAAUCAGAAAGCCACGGCUAACUACGUG
Molecule: ribosomal RNA, 497 nt
Filed under: uncultured bacterium
Lineage: Bacteria
Description: partial 16S ribosomal RNA
Rfam family: Bacterial small subunit ribosomal RNA
Source: RNAcentral